Molecule: unclassified non-coding RNA, 251 nt
Filed under: air metagenome
Description: partial contains small subunit ribosomal RNA, internal transcribed spacer 1, and 5.8S ribosomal RNA
Rfam family: Eukaryotic small subunit ribosomal RNA (bases 1-46)
Source: RNAcentral
AAGUCGUAACAAGGUCUCCGUUGGUGAACCAGCGGAGGGAUCAUUAAUGAGGCCUAAACCCUCUAUAAACCCACUGUGAACCUACUAUAUCUCGUUGCUUCGGCAGGCGGCCCCGGGGGGGCCCCAGGCCUCACGGCGCCUGCCGAGCGGCACCCGUCAGAAUCUUGCAGUUGUUGCCUUCAGCAGACAUCAGCCUGUAUUACAGGUGGUACAAUCAGUAAAAACUUUCAACAACGGAUCUCUUGGUUCUG